RNAcentral lists this ribosomal RNA (572 nucleotides) under bacterium CH336b_11D. RNAcentral's name for it is "bacterial SSU rRNA". It matches the Rfam family "Bacterial small subunit ribosomal RNA", at positions 86 to 632 of the family's 1533-position model. The record is from RNAcentral.
GGGGGGAACGAACGGUGGAAUGAGCGGCGGACGGGUGAGUAACACGUAAAGAACCUGCCCAUAGGUCUGGGAUAACCACGAGAAAUCGGGGCUAAUACCGGAUGUGUCAUCGGACCGCAUGGUCCGCUGAUGAAAGGCGCUCCGGCGUCGCCCAUGGAUGGCUUUGCGGUGCAUUAGCUAGUUGGUGGGGUAACGGCCCACCAAGGCGACGAUGCAUAGCCGACCUGAGAGGGUGAUCGGCCACACUGGGACUGAGACACGGCCCAGACUCCUACGGGAGGCAGCAGUAGGGAAUCUUCCACAAUGGACGAAAGUCUGAUGGAGCAACGCCGCGUGAACGAUGAAGGCUUUCGGGUCGUAAAGUUCUGUUGUAAGGGAAGAACAAGUGCCGCAGGCAAUGGCGGCACCUUGACGGUACCUUGCGAGAAAGCCACGGCUAACUACGUGCCAGCAGCCGCGGUAAUACGUAGGUGGCAAGCGUUGUCCGGAAUUAUUGGGCGUAAAGCGCGCGCAGGCGGCCUCUUAAGUCUGAUGUGAAAGCCCCCGGCUCAACCGGGGAGGGCCAUUGGAAA